UGAGCAUAUCCAAAUCGGGAGCC
This 23-nucleotide microRNA is filed under the name Pristionchus pacificus. RNAcentral's name for it is "ppc-miR-8239-3p". The record is from miRBase by way of RNAcentral. Lineage: Eukaryota; Metazoa; Nematoda; Chromadorea; Rhabditida; Neodiplogasteridae.